RNAcentral lists this long non-coding RNA (771 nucleotides) under Manihot esculenta (cassava). RNAcentral's name for it is "long non-coding RNA (MESC_LNC009880)". Lineage: Eukaryota; Viridiplantae; Streptophyta; Magnoliopsida; Malpighiales; Euphorbiaceae. The record is from RNAcentral.
UUAUUGCACAUAGCCAUAGCCUCAGCAGCAGCAGUCCCUUCGUCGAGCAAUGAAGCAUUCGACAUGGGCAAUCCAGUGAGAUCCGUAAUCAUGGUUUGAUAAUUAAGCAAGGACUCCAACCUCCCCUGAGAUAUCUCAGCUUGAUAAGGUGUGUACUGUGUGUACCAAGCUGGAUUCUCCAUUAUGUUUCUCAAAAUAACUGGUGGAACAUGUGUGUUAUAAUAUCCCAUCCCUAUAUAUGACUUAAAAACCUUAUUCUUUGAUGCCAAUUUUUUCAUGUGCUCAAUCAUUUGGCUCUCAGUUAGCCCUUCAUCAAACUUAGAGAACUUCAUUGAAUCAAUUCUAAUUGAUUUAGGCACAGUGGCAUCUAUCAAAGAAUCAAGAUUAUCAAACCCACAUAACUCAGCCAUUUUAGUUUGCUCCUCUGGAGGAGCAGAGUUAUGGCGGCGGGGAAAAGUAUCACUGGCUUUCAAAGACUCAACAGAUAUGGAUCGAACUUGUGAAACACCACCAUAAUAACCACCACCAGCAUUAUGGGUAACAAUAUUUUUGCUUCCUAGCAACAUCCCUGAUCUGGGAUUUCUAGAAGCAAAAGAAGACAACGAUGAGACAUACCUCGAAGGAGUGUACAAUACAGGAGAAGAAGAGUUCAACAGAGUUGAAGACUCAUGGCAGCUCUGGUGGUUGCAUUGCUUGGAUUCACUCAGCAGCCUCUUCAAGAUAGCCCUGUUAGCCAGACGCCUUGCACGUUCCAUGAAUGUGAUGUAGAGA